This is a long non-coding RNA of Tachyglossus aculeatus (Australian echidna), 814 nucleotides long. RefSeq lists it as uncharacterized. Lineage: Eukaryota; Metazoa; Chordata; Mammalia; Monotremata; Tachyglossidae. The record is from RefSeq and is a predicted model, not a curated record. The transcript has 3 exons.
GGGGGGCGGUUGGCGGGGGAACGCUGUCUGGCCCUGCGGCUCUCCCGGGCCCUGAGCCCGCGACUUCCACCGGCCAGUCAGCCUUGUGUCUCCACAGUGGCCUCGGGGAGAGACCAACUUGCCAGCAAGUCCCCCCAGCCCUCAGGACCAGGACGGCGGAGGGUGGCGGACCAAGGUGCCCUCCCGCCCUCGGCCGGGCCUGGGUGCAGAGUCCCUACCUGGUACAGAACGUCGUUGCCGCCUUUGCCUCGUCUCCGUUGGUUCUGAGAGACAGACAGACAGACAGACAGAGAGAUCAGCACUGCGGCUCGGGGCCCGGAGUCCUGCCCCGAUAAAGGGUGGCAGCGCCAUGGAGAUGAAGGGGCAUCCUCCAGCGGGUAGCCGCUCACCAUUGGGCCCGGGAGCGAUCUGCCUGGAGGCUCGGAGACUGCUGGAGACUGUGAGCGCCUUGUGACCAGGGGCCGGGUGCCUGGUAGAGUGCCCCGCACACGGGAAGCACUCAAUCGCUACCACUGAUGGACUGUCAGAUCUGGUUCUGGCCCUGCUGGGACGGGACCCCGGCGCUCCUGCCAAACUGGAAAAGUCAGAAGACCGGGUCAGGCACUGUCCGAGUCGCCCCCCGCCCCACCCCAGGCGGCCAGCCCCGAGGGAGACCUCAGAGGGUGAGCCCCGGAGGGCGGGGACCCAACAAAAGCCGCUGUUUGCCGGACCAGGCCCCACCGGACCCCCACCGGGUGUGUCCCCUUGCAACUGGACUCGCCCAUCCCCGCCUUAGGGCAAGUCGUUUCUCCAUGCCUCAAUUAUACCACCUGUA